CUCAACUCAACUCAACUCAACUCAACUCAACUCAACUCAACUCAACUCAACUCAACUCAACUCAACUCAACUCAACUCAACUCAACUCAACUCAACUCAACUCAACUCAACUCAACUCAGACCGACAAAUUCUUCAAUAGAAACUCUAUGUUGCCUGCUAAUCUUGAUUUGGAAGUAGAGGCUCGAGGAAAUGGACAAGGAAUACUAGAGGUAUUAUCACGAUACAUAAGAAUGGACUUGUAGAAUGACAUGAAUGGAGUAUGGGGUUACUAACCAAGACUGACCUCAUUCGAGUCUCACUUUCAUGGCGUGCUGAAACCGCAACAAUCCAUUCUAAAUGUAUUUCAGAAAUAUCACAAAGACCUUGCCGCUAAGGGCUUUGUUUAUGAGUACAAUACUUAUACGCUACUGUCUGCUUUUCCUCUUAUGUUUGUUUGUUGUUUGUUUUCUUUCCACUACAGGGAAAGACGACCACGGGUUGUGACCUAUUACAAUCAGCUGCAUGAGGUGGAAGAGAAAAUGCCCUGCAAGCACUUUGAUCUCAACGUCACUUUUGAAGGAUCCAGCGCAGGGCUCUAGGACCCAGAGACGUCAGGAUGGUGGUUCUUGAUGUCAGUCUACCAACUGGAUUCACCCCAGAAAACUCUGACCUGGAGAUGGUAAUCACCUUCUAGUGCUAGUGCAGAAAAAUCUGAAAGCUUGUGUCAAUGGUGUAUUUAAGUGUCUUUAAAAUGAAUGUAGUAUUUUAAAUAAAAGUUUGUAAAAAGUUUACUACAUCAUGAUAAUGACCUUCUAAUGGAUGAGACAUGAAUGAUCGCAUGUUUAGGACGGCGGCGUUGCUAACUAGCUAACAGCUGACUCUGUUUAUGUGUGUGUCCAGCUGUCCAAUUCAGUGCAUCGUUACAUCAGUAACUUCCAGAUUGUAGACAACCUGAGUGACAGAGGCUCCCUGAUCAUUCACCUGUUCAAAGUAACAUCACUGUAUUUAUAAUUAUUAUUCUAUAUCAUAUCAUUUUA
This is a long non-coding RNA of Amphiprion ocellaris (clown anemonefish), 1017 nucleotides long. RefSeq lists it as uncharacterized. Lineage: Eukaryota; Metazoa; Chordata; Actinopteri; Pomacentridae. The record is from RefSeq and is a predicted model, not a curated record. The transcript is spliced from 3 exons.